RNAcentral lists this ribosomal RNA (497 nucleotides) under uncultured bacterium. Its description in RNAcentral is "partial 16S ribosomal RNA". It matches the Rfam family "Bacterial small subunit ribosomal RNA", at positions 28 to 507 of the family's 1533-position model. The record is from RNAcentral.
GAUGAACGCUGGCGGCGUGCCUAAUACAUGCAAGUCGAGCGAACGGACGAGAAGCUUGCUUCUCUGAUGUUAGCGGCGGACGGGUGAGUAACACGUGGAUAACCUACCUAUAAGACUGGGAUAACUUCGGGAAACCGUAGCUAAUACCGGAUAAUAUUUUGAACCGCAUGGUUCAAAAGUGAAAGACGGUCUUGCUGUCACUUAUAGAUGGAUCCGCGCUGCAUUAGCUAGUUGGUAAGGUAACGGCUUACCAAGGCAACGAUGCAUAGCCGACCUGAGAGAGUGAUCGGCCGCACUGGAGCUGAGACACGGACCAGACUCCUACGGGAGGCAGCAGUAGGGAAUCUUCCGCAAUGGGCGAAAGCCUGACGGAGCAGCGCCGCGUGAGUGAUGAAGAUCUUCGGAUCGGAAAACUCUGUUAUGAGGGAAGAACAUAUGUGUAAGUAACUGUGCAGAUCUUGACGGUACCUAAUCAGAAAGCCACGGCUAACUACGUG